AUUGAACGCUGGCGGCAUGCCUUACACAUGCAAGUCGAACGGCAGCGGACCUUCGGGUGCCGGCGAGUGGCGAACGGGUGAGUAAUAUAUCGGAACGUACCUUUCAGUGGGGGAUAACGUAGCGAAAGUUACGCUAAUACCGCAUAUUCUGUGAGCAGGAAAGCAGGGGAUCGCAAGACCUUGCGCUGAUUGAGCGGCCGAUAUCAGAUUAGCUAGUUGGUGAGGUAAAGGCUCACCAAGGCGACGAUCUGUAGCGGGCCUGAGAGGAUGAUCCGCCACACUGGAACUGAGACACGGUCCAGACUCCUACGGGAGGCAGCAGUGGGGAAUUUUGGACAAUGGGCGCAAGCCUGAUCCAGCCAUGCCGCGUGAGUGAAGAAGGCC
Molecule: ribosomal RNA, 384 nt
Filed under: uncultured bacterium
Lineage: Bacteria
Description: bacterial SSU rRNA
Rfam family: Bacterial small subunit ribosomal RNA
Source: RNAcentral